CAGCAGCCACGGUAAUACGAAGGGGGCUAGCGUUGCUCGGAAUGACUGGGCGUAAAUGGCGCGUAGGCGGCGGCCAAAGUCAGACGUGAAAUUCCUGGGCUCAACCUGGGGGCUGCGUUUGAUACUUGGUUGCUUGAGUGGGGAAGAGGGUCGUGGAAUUCCCAGUGUAGAGGUGAAAUCCGUAGAUAUUGGGAAGAACACCGGUGGCGAAGGCGGCGACCUGGUCCUUGACUGACGCUGAGGCGCGAAAGCGUGGGGAGCAAACAGGAUUAGAUACCCGCGUAGUCCCUGUCUCUUAUAC
This 301-nucleotide ribosomal RNA is filed under the name uncultured bacterium. Its description in RNAcentral is "partial 16S ribosomal RNA". It matches the Rfam family "Bacterial small subunit ribosomal RNA", at positions 509 to 807 of the family's 1533-position model. The record is from RNAcentral.